RNAcentral lists this ribosomal RNA (484 nucleotides) under uncultured bacterium. RNAcentral's name for it is "partial 16S ribosomal RNA". It matches the Rfam family "Bacterial small subunit ribosomal RNA", at positions 29 to 507 of the family's 1533-position model. The record is from RNAcentral.
AUUGAACGCUGGCGGCAUGCUUUACACAUGCAAGUCGAACGGCAGCGCGGGCUUCGGCCUGGCGGCGAGUGGCGAACGGGUGAGUAAUACAUCGGAACGUGCCCAGUAGUGGGGGAUAGCUCGGCGAAAGCCGGAUUAAUACCGCAUACGACCUGAGGGUGAAAGCGGGGGAUCUUCGGACCUCGCGCUAUUGGAGCGGCCGAGGGCGGAUUAGCUAGUUGGUGGGGUAAAGGCCUACCAAGGCGACGAUCUGUAGCUGGUCUGAGAGGACGACCAGCCACACUGGGACUGAGACACGGCCCAGACUCCUACGGGAGGCAGCAGUGGGGAAUUUUGGACAAUGGGCGAAAGCCUGAUCCAGCAAUGCCGCGUGUGUGAUGAAGGCCUUCGGGUUGUAAAGCACUUUUGGCGGGAACGAAAAGGACUGUGCCAAUACCACGGUUCGAUGACGGUACCCGCAGAAUAAGCACCGGCUAACUACGUG